CGCUUUUGGUAAAAUCAAAAGUAAAACCUGCUCAGUGCUUUUAAGUAAACAGCCGCAGUAUUUUGACUGUGCAAAGGUAGCAUAAUCAUUUGUCUUUUAAUUGAAGGCUAGAAUGAAUGGUAAAACGAGAAAAUAGCUGUCUCUUUAUAAAAUUAUCGAAAUUCAUUUUUAAGUGCAAAAGCUUUUAUUUUCUAAAAAGACGAUCAGACCCUAUGGAGCUUUUAUGUUGGGGCGACAAGAAGCAAUCAAAUAUCCCUUCUUUUAUGUAAUACAUAUUAGUAAAGUUAUGAUCCUAAAUGAUAGAUUAAAAGACUAAGUUACCCUAGGGAUAACAGCGUAAUUCUUUUAGAGAGUUCUAAUCGAUAAAAGAGUUUGCGACCUCGAUGUUGGAUUAAAGUUUCUUUGAGGUGUAGCAGCUUCAAACAGAAAGUCUGUUCGACUUUUAAAUCUUUACA
RNAcentral lists this ribosomal RNA (455 nucleotides) under Rynchotalona falcata. RNAcentral's name for it is "partial 16S ribosomal RNA". It matches the Rfam family "Bacterial large subunit ribosomal RNA", at positions 1816 to 2600 of the family's 2925-position model. Lineage: Eukaryota; Metazoa; Arthropoda; Branchiopoda; Diplostraca; Eurycercidae. The record is from RNAcentral.